This 739-nucleotide long non-coding RNA is filed under the name Sorghum bicolor (sorghum). RNAcentral describes it as "long non-coding RNA (SBIC_LNC017700)". The record is from RNAcentral. Lineage: Eukaryota; Viridiplantae; Streptophyta; Magnoliopsida; Poales; Poaceae.
UCACCCAUUGUUAUCUUACCUUUAAUAUUGUUCUUAUUCAAUUCUACCAUCUUUCCUAUUACACCUACUUAUCUAUCUGGGUUAAGUUAGAGCGUAGAUCAGUUCUCCCGUUUCCCUGUGGAUACAAUAAAACCUUUAACCGAGUGAAAGCUACAACGGUAUCCGUGUGCUUGCGGAUUUAUCUGUGUGCGUAUAAAUACCAUAAUACACUCUAGUGCCAUGCUGGGGAUGACAACCUAGUAUUCAAGUGGUGUUAGCAAGUGUCAACAAGCUUUUUGGCGCCGUUACCGGGGAAACGGUUGCUGAGUUGACUACGAACUAGCUUAAUCAUUUUCUAAAAAAAUAAAAAAAUAAAUAUACUUUUCCUUUUAUCUUUUGCCUUAUCUCUGCUAUUGUUUCUUCUUAUCUAAUCCUUGAUUUCUAGUCUAUCAUGAAUGCAAACAUGUCUAUCAAUCAGUUUCAUUGACCUAUGAGCACACAUCUCGAACCACCAAAAUCUUCAAAGCCUAUCAUAGCAUCUAGUUUUGAGAUAGACCCCAAAUACAUAGAAUUUGUUCAAACACAACCUUUCUCAGGAGAAGGUGAGGAAAACCCAUACACACCUAAGAGAGUUUUAUCGAGUCUGUGACCUCCUUCGCAUAGAAGGCAUGUCCGAUGAGACCCUUAAAUGGAACCUCUUCCCGUUCUGUUUAACAGGAAAAGCUAGACAUUGGUACAAACUCAAAGUAGGGAGUGUUCA